UACGUAGGGGCUAGCGUUAUCCGGAAUUACUGGGCGUAAAGGGUGCGUAGGUGGUUUCUUAAGUCAGAGGUGAAAGGCUACGGCUCAACCGUAGUAAGCCUUUGAAACUGGGAAACUUGAGUGCAGGAGAGGAGAGUGGAAUUCCUAGUGUAGCGGUGAAAUGCGUAGAUAUUAGGAGGAACACCAGUUGCGAAGGCGGCUCUCUGGUCUGUAACUGACGCUGAGGUGCGAAAGCGUGGGUAGCAAACAGGAUUAGAUACCCUGGUAGUCCCUGAG
Molecule: ribosomal RNA, 276 nt
Filed under: uncultured prokaryote
Description: partial 16S ribosomal RNA
Rfam family: Bacterial small subunit ribosomal RNA
Source: RNAcentral